AGAGUUUGAUGGUGGCUCAGGAUGAACGCUGGCGGCGUGCCUAACACAUGCAAGUCGAACGAAGCAUUUUAGAUGAAGUUUUCGGAUGGAUUCUGAGAUGACUGAGUGGCGGACGGGUGAGUAACACGUGGAUAACCUGCCUCACACUGGGGGACAACAGUUAGAAAUGACUGCUAAUACCGCAUAAGCGCACAGUACCGCAUGGUACAGUGUGAAAAACUCCGGUGGUGUGAGAUGGAUCCGCGUCUGAUUAGCCAGUUGGCGGGGUAACGGCCCACCAAAGCGACGAUCAGUAGCCGACCUGAGAGGGUGACCGGCCACAUUGGGACUGAGACACGGCCCAAACUCCUACGGGAGGCAGCAGUGGGGAAUAUUGCACAAUGGGCGAAAGCCUGAUGCAGCGACGCCGCGUGAGUGAAGAAGUAUUUCGGUAUGUAAAGCUCUAUCAGCAGGGAAGAUAAUGACGGUACCUGACUAAGAAGCCCCGGCUAACUACGUGCUAGCAGCCGCGGUAAUACGUAGGGGGCAAGCGUUAUCCGGAUUUACUGGGUGUAAAGGGAGCGUAGACGGCAUGGCAAGUCUGAAGUGAAAACCCAGGGCUCAACCCUGGGACUGCUUUGGAAACUGUCAAGCUAGAGUGCAGGAGAGGUAAGUGGAAUUCCUAGUGUAGCGGUGAAAUGCGUAGAUAUUAGGAGGAACACCAGUGGCGAAGGCGGCUUACUGGACUGUAACUGACGUUGAGGCUCGAAAGCGUGGGGAGCAAACAGGAUUAGAUACCCUGGUAGUCCACGCCGUAAACGAUGAGUGCUAGGUGUUGGGGGGCAAAGCCCUUCGGUGCCGUCGCAAACGCAAUAAGCACUCCACCUGGGGAGUACGUCGCAA
Molecule: ribosomal RNA, 882 nt
Filed under: uncultured bacterium
Lineage: Bacteria
Description: bacterial SSU rRNA
Rfam family: Bacterial small subunit ribosomal RNA
Source: RNAcentral